Molecule: ribosomal RNA, 550 nt
Filed under: uncultured bacterium
Lineage: Bacteria
Description: bacterial SSU rRNA
Rfam family: Bacterial small subunit ribosomal RNA (bases 1-484)
Source: RNAcentral
GCGCUGCUACACAUGCCAGUCGUAACGGGAUCCAUCCUUCGGGGUGGUGAGAGUGGCGGACGGGUGAGUAACGCGUGGGAACCUGCCCAGUGGUGGGGGAUAACUGCGGGAAACUGCAGCUAAUACCGCAUGAGCCCCGAGUGUAACAGCUUGGGGGAAAGAUUUAUCGCCAUUGGAGGGGCCCGCGUUCGAUUAGGUAGUUGGUGGGGUAAUGGCCUACCAAGCCGACGAUCGAUAGCUGGUCUGAGAGGAUGAUCAGCCACACUGGGACUGAGAUACGGCCCAGACUCCUACGGGAGGCAGCAAGUGGGGAAUAUUGGACAAUGGGGGCAACCCUGAUCCACAAUGCCGCGUGAGUGAUGAAGGCCUUCGGGUUGUAACGCUCUUUUGCCAGGGACGAUGAUGACGGUACCUGGAGAAUAAGCCCGGGCUAACUUCGUGCCAGCAGACCCGCGGUAAAUACGAAGGGGGCCAAGCGUUAGUCCCGGAAAUUACUUGGGCCGUUAAAAGGGGCCNACGUUUAAGGGCCGGCUUGCCCAAAGUCCACAGG